GAAGGUUUCGUGGUCUGAGUCGGCCGCGCCCAAGUCCAUUGGAACAUGGCGCCUGGGAGGGUGAGAGCCCCGUAUGGCGCACGCCGACUCUUNNUACACCGCGGCUCCGACGAGUCGAGUUGUUUGGGAAUGCAGCUCUAAGUGGGUGGUAAAUUCCAUCUAAAGCUAAAUAUUGGCGAGAGACCGAUAGCGAACAAGUACAGUGAUGGAAAGAUGAAAAGCACUUUGAAAAGAGAGUGAAACAGCACGUGAAAUUGUUGAAAGGGAAGGGCUUGCAAGCAGACACGGUUUUACCGGGCCAGCGUCGAAAAGGGGGGAGGAACAAGAACUCGAGAAUGUGGCGCGCACCUUCGGGCGCGCGUGUUAUAGCUCGUGUUGACGCCUCCAUCCCUUUUCGAGGCCUGCGAUUCUAGGACGCUGGCGUAAUGGUUGCAAGCCGCCCGUCUUGAAACA
This 453-nucleotide ribosomal RNA is filed under the name Clavispora lusitaniae. RNAcentral's name for it is "eukaryotic LSU rRNA". It matches the Rfam family "Eukaryotic large subunit ribosomal RNA", at positions 151 to 661 of the family's 3401-position model. Lineage: Eukaryota; Fungi; Ascomycota; Pichiomycetes; Serinales; Metschnikowiaceae. The record is from RNAcentral.